GCCAGUAUGGCAUAGUGGUUUCAGUAUUGAGCUAUGAAUCUAGAGACCCUGGGUUCGAUUCCCUGCUCAGCCA
This is a non-coding RNA of Phrynosoma platyrhinos (Desert horned lizard), 73 nucleotides long. The record is from the annotation of a GenBank genome assembly. Lineage: Eukaryota; Metazoa; Chordata; Lepidosauria; Squamata; Phrynosomatidae.